CUUUUCGGAGCUAAGUGGCGGACGGGUGAGUAACGCGUGAGAAUCUACCUUUUGGAGGGGGACAACACUGGGAAACCAAUGCUAAGACCCCAUAGGCUGAAAAGUGAAAAACGAAAGUUGCCAAGAGAGGAGCUCGCGUCUGAUUAGCUAGUUGGUAGUGUAAAAGACAACCAAGGCGACGAUCAGUAGCUGGUCUGAGAGGACGAACAGCCACACUGGGACUGAGACACGGCCCAG
RNAcentral lists this ribosomal RNA (237 nucleotides) under uncultured bacterium. Its description in RNAcentral is "partial 16S ribosomal RNA". It matches the Rfam family "Bacterial small subunit ribosomal RNA", at positions 81 to 334 of the family's 1533-position model. The record is from RNAcentral.